Molecule: ribosomal RNA, 207 nt
Filed under: uncultured bacterium
Lineage: Bacteria
Description: partial 16S ribosomal RNA
Rfam family: Bacterial small subunit ribosomal RNA
Source: RNAcentral
CAUGCAGGUGGUUUGUUAAGUCAGAUGUGAAAGCCCGGGGCUCAACCUCGGAAUUGCAUUUGAAACUGGCAGACUAGAGUGCUGUAGAGGGGGGUAGAAUUUCAGGUGUAGCGGUGAAAUGCGUAGAGAUCUGAAGGAAUACCGGUGGCGAAGGCGGCCCCCUGGACAGAUACUGACACCCAGAUGCGAAAGCGUGGGGAGCAAACA